ACACAUGCAAGUCGAACGGAGAAUUUAGGUUUACUUGAAUUCUUAGUGGCGGACGGGUGAGUAACACGUGAGCAACCUGCCUUUGAGAGAGGGAUAAUUUCUGGAAACGGAUUGUAAUACCUCAUAACAUAGCGAAAUCGCAUGAUUAUGCUAUCAAAGAUUUAUCACUCAAAGAUGGGCUCGCGUCUGAUUAGAUAGUUGGUGAGGUAACGGCUCACCAAGUCGACGAUCAGUAGCCGGACUGAGAGGUUGAACGGCCACAUUGGGACUGAGACACGGCCCAGACUCCUACGGGAGGCAGCAGUGGGGAAUAUUGCACAAUGGGGGAAACCCUGAUGCAGCGAUGCCGCGUGGAGGAAGAAGGUUUUCGGAUUGUAAACUCCUGUCUUAAAGGACGAUAAUGACGGUACUUUAGGAGGAAGCUCCGGCUAACUACGUGCCAGCAGCCGCGGUAAUACGUAGGGAGCGAGCGUUGUCCGGAAUUACUGGGUGUAAAGGGAGCGUAGGCGGGAUUGCAAGUCAGAUGUGAAAGGCGGAGGCUUAACCUCCGAGCUGCAUUUGAAACUG
RNAcentral lists this ribosomal RNA (567 nucleotides) under uncultured bacterium. RNAcentral's name for it is "bacterial SSU rRNA". It matches the Rfam family "Bacterial small subunit ribosomal RNA", at positions 51 to 635 of the family's 1533-position model. The record is from RNAcentral.